AUUAGCUAGUUGGUGAGGUAAAGGCUCACCAAGGCGACGAUCCGUAGCUGGUCUGAGAGGAUGAUCAGCCACACUGGGACUGAGACACGGCCCAGACUCCUACGGGAGGCAGCAGUGGGGAAUAUGGGGCAAUGGGCGAAAGCCUGAUCCAGCAACGCCGCGUGAGUGAUGAAGGCCUUAGGGUUGUAAACGGCUAACUCCGUGCCAGCAGCCGCGGUAAUACGGAGGGGGCUAGCGUUGUUCGGAAUUACUGGGCGUAAAGCGCGCGUAGGCGGCUUUGUAAGUCAGAGGUGAAAGCCUGGAGCUCAACUCCAGAACUGCCUUUGAAACUACAUCGCUAUUAUCGUGGAGAGGCAAGUGGAAUUCCGAGUGUAGAGGUGAAAUUCGUAGAUAUACGGAAGAACACCAGUGCCGAAGGCGACUUACUGGACACGUAUUGACGCUGAGGUGCGAAAGCUGGGGAGCAAACAGGAUUAGAUACCCUGGUAGUCCACGCUGUAAACGAUGAUGACUAGCUGUCGGGGCUCAUGGAGUUUCGGUGGCG
Molecule: ribosomal RNA, 544 nt
Filed under: uncultured bacterium
Lineage: Bacteria
Description: bacterial SSU rRNA
Rfam family: Bacterial small subunit ribosomal RNA
Source: RNAcentral